AUUGAACGCUGGCGGCAGGCCUAACACAUGCAAGUCGAGCGGAUGAAGGGAGCUUGCUCCUGGAUUCAGCGGCGGACGGGUGAGUAAUGCCUAGGAAUCUGCCUGGUAGUGGGGGAUAACGUCCGGAAACGGGCGCUAAUACCGCAUACGUCCUGAGGGAGAAAGUGGGGGAUCUUCGGACCUCACGCUAUCAGAUGAGCCUAGGUCGGAUUAGCUAGUUGGUGGGGUAAAGGCCUACCAAGGCGACGAUCCGUAACUGGUCUGAGAGGAUGAUCAGUCACACUGGAACUGAGACACGGUCCAGACUCCUACGGGAGGCAGCAGUGGGGAAUAUUGGACAAAGGGCGAAAGCCUGAUCCAGCCAUGCCGCGUGUGUGAAGAAGGUCUUCGGAUUGUAAAGCACUUUAAGUUGGGAGGAAGGGCAGUAAGUUAAUACCUUGCUGUUUUGACGUUACCAACAAAAUAAGCACCGGCUAACUUCGUG
Molecule: ribosomal RNA, 484 nt
Filed under: uncultured bacterium
Lineage: Bacteria
Description: partial 16S ribosomal RNA
Rfam family: Bacterial small subunit ribosomal RNA
Source: RNAcentral